RNAcentral lists this unclassified non-coding RNA (1954 nucleotides) under Amphibalanus amphitrite. RNAcentral describes it as "longitudinals lacking protein, isoforms H/M/V-like, transcript variant X4". Lineage: Eukaryota; Metazoa; Arthropoda; Thecostraca; Balanomorpha; Balanidae. The record is from RNAcentral.
ACGCGAUUUUCCCGCGUUUCUCGCUUUUGUUUGGCUUCAGCCAUAUUUGCGGCAUUUGUUGGUUGCGGGUUUUGUGGAUAUUGCUGCAGGGGAAUGACGUGGAUCUUUAUAAUGUAACGGAGCUUACGACUGCUGGAAUAUUGUGCAGUGAUCUAUAGCUCAGUUUUGUGAAACAUAAGCUUGUCUUUUCUUGAAAUCUCGCCGAGCCGCCGCGCCGCGCGAUGACGGGCGGCCAGAAGUUCUGUCUGCGCUGGGACGGCUUCAAGUCGCGGCUGUCCUCGGUGUUUGACGAACUGCGCCGGGAGGAAGAGCUGCUGGAUGUGACACUCUGCUGUGAUGGCGGACACGCCGUCAAGGCCCACCAGAUCCUGCUGUCGGCCAGCAGUCCCAGCCUCCGCCAGCUGCUCAAGUCGAACCCAUGUCAGCACCCGGUGUUCUUCCUGAAGGAGACCUCGGCGGAGGAUCUGCAUGCCAUCAUCCAGUUCAUCUACUGCGGAGAGGUGAACGUGGUCCAGAGCCAGCUAGCCAGCUUCAUCAAGACGGCAGAGAUGCUGCAGAUCCGGGGGCUCAGCGGCGACAGCGACGGAGAUGAAGAUCAGACACCGACUGCUACGGCUCCGCGGCAGAGCUCGGCGCCGCCACCACGUGAGGAUGACCAGCCCGCACCUGCCGAGCCUCGACCGAGCAAACGACGCCGCCGCCGCUCCAGUGGAACGUCCGACCUGUCCGCGACCUAUGACGCAUCCUCGAGCGCGUCCGCCCCCGCAUCCGUGACCGCAUCCUCCAAGACCGCCGCCGGCGUCCCUGCUGCCGCCUCCGCCGCUGCCACCGCCUCCAAGUCUGCUAUUCCGUCAACUAGCGUCAGCACAGAUAACAGAGCGGUCGCAAAUGUCCCGAAAGCCGCAUCCGCCUCGGUGAUCGCUGCUGAUGUGAACGUUGUCAGCCUGGAUGAUAUAAAGACUGAGCAGGUGGAUCUCUCAGAUGACGAAGGGCGCUCUAUGGAUGACCCGCUGGGCUUCUUCUCGAGCUUUGAGGGACACGUCGAUGCCAGCAGUGCCGCCGGCCCGUCGUCUCGCGACUCGCAUGGAGGACCGUCCACAGCUGCAGGACCGUCAGGACAGGCUGGAGCGACGGCAGCGGGUGAACCAACUGCGCAAGAAUACCAUAAACUGGAGGAGAUACUGGCCAUGAUUUUGGCCAAGCUGGAUUUCAUAGAGAGGAUUCAGCAAGAUAUCUGGGAGCAGCUGGCUCAACAGGGAGACUCUCGUUCUGGAUCGUCGGCACAGCCGGGCUUCCGGCGUCUGAAAACGACAGAAGACUUCCAGAAGCUGGAUGAACUCCUCGCUCGUAGCACUAAGGCCAAAGAUGCCAUGAAGGAGGAGCUCACACGCUGGUGUUCUGUGAACUUCAGACACAGUGUGCUUCAGAUAAUGCCCAUCGUUUUCGGCCCAGAGCUGGCAAGACACCUAUCCCUGACAGGAAAAAAUCAAAAGAUGGGUGUGGGCGAUACACACAUUUUCGAUGUCAUUUCAGACGUCCUCCACACUGCCUGGGGUGCCUCAAGGGCGGAUGUUAGCCGCAGGAUGUCCUCGUGGCUCUCUGGGUCCCGGGAUCGCACCAGUGGAGUACUGCCGUCCCGCAAGAAGAAGACGGUACCGACGGAACAGGCCGCUGAUACUGGUGAAGACGACGCGGGAGCGACGGCAGAUUGAACGAAGAGAAAGCUGGCGGAGGGAAAGCUACCGUUUUGAGAUUUUGAGACAUGUUUACACGUUUCAUUGGGGCGUGCUGAGACUUUUUGAAAAUGGGCGUGGUUUAGGGACACGGUGUUUGUGGUAGUGGUAGAAGGGACAGGGUGCGCUUUUGAUCUUGUAUCUUCUCGUGACGCGGUCUUUUGGAUUUUAAUCUCUUGAUUGUCUUUUUGAUACGCCCGAAAUACACUUUUCUAAGCUUA